ACGGGUGAGUAACGCGUAUCCAACCUGCCCUUCACCACGGGAUAACCCGGCGAAAGUCGGACUAAUACCGUAUGUUGUCCAUUGACGGCAUCCGAUUUGGACGAAAGGCUUAACGGUGAGGGAUGGGGAUGCGUCCGAUUAGCUUGACGGCGGGGUAACGGCCCACCGUGGCUACGAUCGGUAGGGGUUCUGAGAGGAAGGUCCCCCACACUGGAACUGAGACACGGUCCAGACUCCUACGGGAGGCAGCAGUGAGGAAUAUUGGUCAAUGGGCGGAAGCCUGAACCAGCCAAGUAGCGUGCAGGAUGACGGCCCUAUGGGUUGUAAACUGCUUUUAUGCGGGGAUAAAGGAGCUCACGUGUGGGCUUUUGCAGGUACCGCAUGAAUAAGGACCGGCUAAUUCCGUGCCAGCAGCCGCGGUAAUACGGAAGGUCCGGGCGUUAUCCGGAUUUAUUGGGUUUAAAGGGAGCGUAGGCCGCCCCUUAAGCGUGUUGUGAAAUGCGGGUGCUCAACAUCCGACUUGCAGCGCGAACUGGGGGGCUUGAGUGCGCCGAAAGUAGGCGGAAUUCGUGGUGUAGCGGUGAAAUGCUUAGAUAUCACGAAGAACUCCGAUUGCGAACGCAGCUUACUGUAGCGCAACUGACGCUGAUGCUCGAAAGCGUGGGUAUCGAACAGGAUUAGAUACCCUGGUAGUCCACGCGGUAAAC
Molecule: ribosomal RNA, 707 nt
Filed under: uncultured bacterium
Lineage: Bacteria
Description: bacterial SSU rRNA
Rfam family: Bacterial small subunit ribosomal RNA
Source: RNAcentral